This 767-nucleotide ribosomal RNA is filed under the name uncultured bacterium. Its description in RNAcentral is "bacterial SSU rRNA". It matches the Rfam family "Bacterial small subunit ribosomal RNA", at positions 8 to 770 of the family's 1533-position model. The record is from RNAcentral.
AGAGUUUGAUCAUGGCUCAGAUUGAACGCUGGCGGCAUGCCUUACACAUGCAAGUCGAACGGCAGCACGGGGGCAACCCUGGUGGCGAGUGGCGAACGGGUGAGUAACGCAUCGGAAUGUACCCAGUAGUGGGGGAUAACUAGUCGAAAGAUUAGCUAAUACCGCAUACGCACUGAGGUGGAAAGCGGGGGAUCGUAAGACCUCACGUUAUUCGAGCGGCCGACGUCUGAUUAGCUAGUUGGUGAGGUAAUGGCUCACCAAGGCGACGAUCAGUAGCGGGUCUGAGAGGAUGAUCCGCCACACUGGGACUGAGACACGGCCCAGACUCCUACGGGAGGCAGCAGUGGGGAAUUUUGGACAAUGGGGGCAACCCUGAUCCAGCCAUUCCGCGUGAGUGAAGAAGGCCUUCGGGUUGUAAAGCUCUUUCAGCAGGAACGAAACGGUACGCUCUAACAUAGUGUGCUAAUGACGGUACCUGCAGAAGAAGCACCGGCUAACUACGUGCCAGCAGCCGCGGUAAUACGUAGGGUGCGAGCGUUAAUCGGAAUUACUGGGCGUAAAGCGUGCGCAGGCGGAUUGUUAAGCAAGAUGUGAAAUCCCCGGGCUUAACCUGGGAAUGGCAUUUUGAACUGGCAGUCUAGAGUGUGUCAGAGGGGGGUGGAAUUCCACGUGUAGCAGUGAAAUGCGUAGAGAUGUGGAGGAACACCGAUGGCGAAGGCAGCCCCCUGGGAUAACACUGACGCUCAUGUACGAAAGCGUGGGUAGCA